Molecule: ribosomal RNA, 607 nt
Filed under: Alternaria sp. SFC2
Lineage: Eukaryota; Fungi; Ascomycota; Dothideomycetes; Pleosporales; Pleosporaceae
Also listed under: 1 other name
Description: eukaryotic LSU rRNA
Rfam family: 5.8S ribosomal RNA (bases 231-384)
Source: RNAcentral
GGUCAUUUAGAGGAAGUAAAAGUCGUAACAAGGUCUCCGUAGGUGAACCUGCGGAGGGAUCAUUACACAAAUAUGAAGGCGGGCUGGAACCUCUCGGGGUUACAGCCUUGCUGAAUUAUUCACCCUUGUCUUUUGCGUACUUCUUGUUUCCUUGGUGGGUUCGCCCACCACUAGGACAAACAUAAACCUUUUGUAAUUGCAAUCAGCGUCAGUAACAAAUUAAUAAUUACAACUUUCAACAACGGAUCUCUUGGUUCUGGCAUCGAUGAAGAACGCAGCGAAAUGCGAUAAGUAGUGUGAAUUGCAGAAUUCAGUGAAUCAUCGAAUCUUUGAACGCACAUUGCGCCCUUUGGUAUUCCAAAGGGCAUGCCUGUUCGAGCGUCAUUUGUACCCUCAAGCUUUGCUUGGUGUUGGGCGUCUUGUCUCUAGCUUUGCUGGAGACUCGCCUUAAAGUAAUUGGCAGCCGGCCUACUGGUUUCGGAGCGCAGCACAAGUCGCACUCUCUAUCAGCAAAGGUCUAGCAUCCAUUAAGCCUUUUUUUCAACUUUUGACCUCGGAUCAGGUAGGGAUACCCGCUGAACUUAAGCAUAUCAAUAAGCGGAGGAAA